This 493-nucleotide ribosomal RNA is filed under the name Bacillus wiedmannii. Its description in RNAcentral is "bacterial SSU rRNA". It matches the Rfam family "Bacterial small subunit ribosomal RNA", at positions 1 to 473 of the family's 1533-position model. The record is from RNAcentral. Lineage: Bacteria; Bacillati; Bacillota; Bacilli; Caryophanales; Bacillaceae.
UUUAUUGGAGAGUUUGAUCCUGGCUCAGGAUGAACGCUGGCGGCGUGCCUAAUACAUGCAAGUCGAGCGAAUGGAUUGAGAGCUUGCUCUCAAGAAGUUAGCGGCGGACGGGUGAGUAACACGUGGGUAACCUGCCCAUAAGACUGGGAUAACUCCGGGAAACCGGGGCUAAUACCGGAUAACAUUUUGAACUGCAUGGUUCGAAAUUGAAAGGCGGCUUCGGCUGUCACUUAUGGAUGGACCCGCGUCGCAUUAGCUAGUUGGUGAGGUAACGGCUCACCAAGGCAACGAUGCGUAGCCGACCUGAGAGGGUGAUCGGCCACACUGGGACUGAGACACGGCCCAGACUCCUACGGGAGGCAGCAGUAGGGAAUCUUCCGCAAUGGACGAAAGUCUGACGGAGCAACGCCGCGUGAGUGAUGAAGGCUUUCGGGUCGUAAAACUCUGUUGUUAGGGAAGAACAAGUGCUAGUUGAAUAAGCUGGCACCUUGAC